GUAUAUGUGAUCCAUGUAGAUGUGAUCCUGUAGUGUGAUCCUGCAGAUUGUGAUCCUGUAGAUGUGAUCCUGUAGUGUGAUCCUGUAGAUGUGAUCCUGUAGAUGUGAUCCAUGUAGAUGUGAUCCUGUAGUGUGAUCCUGUAGAUGUGAUCCAUGUAGAUGUGAUCCUGUAGUGUGAUCCUGUAGAUGUGAUCCAUGUAGAUGUGAUCCUGUAGUGUGAUCCUGUAGAUGUGAUCCUGUAGAUGUGAUCCAGUUUGUGGGAAAGCAAUAGUUAAUUUCCCUUUAGAGCCUGUGGCGUCACAUGACUUACAUCAUAGGUCUGUUCACCUUCACACUAAUGAGCUCUGAUUAAAUGCAUGAAAUCUCGUCCUUCCAUCCAAUCAUCACGUUUGUGCUCACCUGAUAGUGAUGCUUGGUUGAACCAACAUGACACACUUACAGUCACCUUCAUAUGUGUGUAUAAGGGGAUUAUGGGUAAAAGUGUAGAAUAAAAGAGAUCAUGUUGUUAAGAUAUAAAAGAGAAGAAUGAACACAGAGAAAAGCUCCAUUCAGACGGAUGGAAACACUGGACUCGCCGACUGUAUGUGUGUGUGUGUGUGUGUGCGCGUGUUUGUGUGCGUGUGUGAGUGUGUGUGUGACAGACAUGAAACAGAAAAACAGUGUCACAGUUUUCCCUGCCUUCCUCCUGGCAGACUGCAGCGAGAGGACGACUCGGAAAAAUCUGAUCUCAAAACAGCCGUCCCUGUGUGUGUGUGUGUGUGUUUGUGUGUGUGCGUGCGUGUGUGUGUGUGUGCGUGUGUGUGUGUGCGUGUGUCCACUUCUGUCAUUGUGCGUUCUGUUGUUUUCCAUCCAUUACAUUGACGGCAUGUUUGUGUGUCUUUUAUCCUUUUCCGUCUGUGUGUGUAGUUGUGUGUGUGGUUGUGUGAUUGUGUUUCCGUUUUUGCCACAAAUCAGAUCAACUGAAGGAACUUUUCCUGCUUCUCUCUGUUUCUCCCCCUUUUUCUCCCCUGCUUAACCUUCCUCCCUUUUCCACACUUUUUACUUUACUCACGCUUGUUUUUUUCUCUCUUAGUCCCCCUAACUCCCCCUCUCCCCCUCAUCUUUUUUGGUGUGUCUGUGUGUGAUAGUAAAAAAGGGAGGGAGGGGGGUUUUCUGCUUCACAACCUCGGUGACCACUUCCUCCGUCCACAUCCUGUUUAUUUUCUGUUUGGCGAUAGAGACCGGACUCCCUCAGAAAUAAACACAAAAAAGAACCCACACAACAACACAAGAAACUCCUAAUUACAUCUUCAAACACACGCACACACAC
Gasterosteus aculeatus aculeatus (three-spined stickleback) is the source of this 1309-nucleotide long non-coding RNA. The record is from Ensembl. NCBI's taxonomy places the organism in Eukaryota, Metazoa, Chordata, Actinopteri, Perciformes, Gasterosteidae.